GGCCCCGUAGUGUAGCGGUUAUCACGUCGCCCUGUCACGGCGAAGAUCGCGGGUUCGAUUCCCGUCGGGACCG
Molecule: transfer RNA, 73 nt
Filed under: Streptococcus pneumoniae
Lineage: Bacteria; Bacillati; Bacillota; Bacilli; Lactobacillales; Streptococcaceae
Description: tRNA-Asp(gtc)
Rfam family: tRNA
About the family: Transfer RNA (tRNA) molecules are approximately 80 nucleotides in length. Their secondary structure includes four short double-helical elements and three loops (D, anti-codon, and T loops).
Source: RNAcentral